Molecule: long non-coding RNA, 4672 nt
Organism: Xenopus tropicalis (tropical clawed frog)
Lineage: Eukaryota; Metazoa; Chordata; Amphibia; Anura; Pipidae
Exons: 3
Source: RefSeq, a predicted model, not a curated record
UCAUGCUCCCUCAUUGAUCAUUAACCAGCUGCCUUUCGGGUGCUCGCUGCUCGGCUGAUGGAGCCUCUGUUUGCAGGAAGGGGCAGAUCUCCCAGUAUUUCCUAGAUUAUCUCACUUCAUUGGACAAGCCCCAAUGCUGGGGGAGGGGAGGCAGCAGCAGGACCACUUGCCCGUGUUUCUGUCUUUCGUAGAUACAGAAGCAGCUGCACACAGCUGGGGGAAGAGGUUUCACUGACCUCCCUGUAUAAUUGUAUUGCUGUAGCAGCAGAGCUCCCCUGGGGAACGCUAAAAUCCAUUUAAUAUCAUCCUCAGGACAAGCCGACCCUGCUGUGGAUCAGAUCUCAACCAGCAUAUUUUAUAUUUGUUUGAUGGGGGAUUGAUCGGAUGACAGCUGGAACUGUAGUCAUCACAGGAGGAAUCCUAGCGACUGUUAUACUACUGUGUAUUAUUGGGGUUCUGUGCUACUGCAGACUUCAGUAUUACUGCUGUAAGAAAGAAGAGCUUCGUGAGGAGGCAGAGGAGGUUCCAGGUCAGCGAACUCACUCUCACUUUCCUUGCCAUGACUGCUCUUCUGCUCAUCUGGACAGCAUGCCCCAUACUACAGUGCCACCAGCCUACUCCCCAUAUGGGUCUCCAUACUACAUACGAACUGGAGAUAGCAUGUGCAAUGGUAGAGAGAGAUCUCCCUGCACCCCCACCCACUGCACAGAGGCAGGGCCCCUGCUUAUGAUGGCGGGUACACCGAGCUUAUCCAGAGGGUUGCAUGCUUUGAGCACCCAGGUAUGAUGGAGGAAGAGCCCACGGAUCUGAAAACCUUUGGACUUUUAAGCUUUGUCACUGCCAAGGAAAGCAGACUUUAGUGUUCACGUCCACUAAAGAAUGGCUAUUGAAUUUAGAAUUGGCAGUUGCAGGUAGAGAAAUGAAAUGGUGAUGUCAGCAAUUCCACUGCAUAAGUUACAUGCGGCAAAAGAACCAUAUGAGAAAUACUAAUGUGGAUAAUAUGGAGGGAAUUAAAGCUGAUUUGGGGGUAGGAGGGAACUCAUGUAUUCAUUGGCAACACUUGUACAGGAUCACUUUGGAAAUGACAAGUUUAAGCUCUUCUCCCAACCUUUUAUCUUGCUGAAGCAGUUUUAUUAUCACUCUGGAGUAACGGCCAUAUAUUGUAUUUGCUAUUACUAAUUGCCAGUCAUCAGGUUUCUUACAACUCUUAGAAACCAUGGGUUGGCUACUAAACCUUACAGACAAGCUACCCUCCCAUGUGCACAAGUGUAAUCAGUGUCCUUUGUUAUUUAGUAGGUUCUGUUCCCAUAAGGGUUAAAUCAUUGCAGUUUUAGGCUUCCACUGCACAGCAACCCAAGUACAGUAUUAAUAGACUUGAUUCUGCCCCACUGGUCUGUACAAAGAGGAACCAAGACCAGUGCCAAAACCAGAUGCCUGUGUCAUUGGUCUCUGAACCGUGAGUACAGACCCAGGGCUUGUUAAUGUAUUUACACUUCUGGUAGAUCAUCCAUACGAACUACCUGCUCUUUCAUUUCCCAUUAAGUAUUUGGUACUUUUCUGCAUAUUUAAUUGUGUGGGUCCUACUCACCUCAAAUUAUUAAGGCACUAACACAUGGAGGGUGUCACCUGAUGGGAAAUCUCCUCUCCUGUGGACUAUGAAGCACCCAACAAUACCUACCCCUUUACAUAAGUUGGAAUUACCACAUGUAAAACACAUUACUGUGUUAAUUCCAGGUAAUCACUUAGAAUGCCUCCUUCUGUAUUUUAGGCCAAUUUACAUACAGCGAUUCCAACUAAUGUGAAGGAGAAGGUAUUGUCAGGCGCUUCAUUGCCCCCAGGAGAGGAGAAUUCCCACUGGUGAUGAAGCCCUUAGGUCCCAUUCACACUGGUGUUUAGGCCUGUGUUUCCCUGCUGUACCUACAGUACAUGUGUAUGUAUGUAUGAACCCUGGAACUACUGCCACCUCUUGACCAGGCAGUAACUCCAGGGUUCCCUCAGUAUCCUGCGUCAAUCACUGUAGUUCAGUUGCGCUGAAAGAAUCACUCACACACUGGCAACAGAAACGGUGGAACUGUGUAAUUUUGGAAAAUUGUGCACAAUUGCGGUAGGUACAAAGCAGUUGCGUUAAAUGUAUCACCCCUUUGCAGCCGCAAUGACACUGAGAAAAAAUGCUGCAUUUUGGGGAGAAAAUAUGACGAUUGUGUUGAAAUAGCACUUUGCUCACUGCACCGGAGUACUUACAUGUGGCCUAUUAACAGAUGAAGUCCCAUGGGCUGGCCAUUAUUGCUUUAAAAAGUAUACUGAGUGUCAUGUUCCUUACUGAGUAUGCAAAAUAAAUGUACUACUGAGCAGCGACUAUAGAAGUGUUAUGCCAGAAAAUACGUUAACAACAAUUGCCCACUUUUCUUUAUACAGCAUCUUACACCAUAAUGUGUUUUUUAUAUAUCAAAAUGAUAGAGUAACAAUGCAGUCCUCCAAUAAUUAGUGAUGUAUGGAAUGACAAUUUUAACACCAAAGUGUACAAGUUUUUGUCCAUGAAACUGGAGUGACUUUUUGUGAAUUUGACAAUUUUAGGCCAUUCAUCUUUAUAACUCCAGUUUUACUUUACUCCACCUUUGUGCAUACCUUAAUUGAUAAGCAGGGGGACCCCCUCAUGGAUUAUCUGGGCAGGAAAAUAAUAUAAAUCAUGGUCAUAAAACUUGUAACCACCUGCUGUUAAACUAAAACUCCCAGAAGCCUCUCCCACUUCUCGUAAAUGCUGGGCAUUCACAGUAGCUUAGGAGCCACAGAUUGGUCACUCCUGAUAUUCAGACCAUACUCUAUGAUACUUUACUAACAGUGUCAUGCUAUAUAUGUCAUUUAUACUUAUUGCAUUACCAUUUUGUUUUCAGCAGAGGAAAUUUGGCAGUGGUUGCCCCAUGUUACAUCCCUCUCUGCCUGACCCUAACACUUGGGUAAUUUCUCCAGCCUCAUAUAGCAUAUGUAUGUUAAAGUGAGAGUUUACAGGUGACUGAUGGCACAUUCAUGGCCACUUCAAGUAUAUGCUCCCUAAAUAUUUUUCUAUUCUCAUUGUUUUCCAUAGUACAAACGGCAAAAUAUUUUUAUAUUUUUGAAUGAAAGGGCUGCCAUUUUGCGCUACUCUUCUAGUCUUGUUUAGGGUCAUUUCAAACACACAGCCUAUACUUUUGUAUACAGUUGGCCCGCACCAGACUUGGAUGCCACUACAGGACACAUACUGCUAAUCUACAAAUGCAAAAAAAACACAUUCAGAGCAUUACAUCGCUCACAUUGAUUCUAAUUACUAAGGCACUUUUUAUGUCUAUAUACGCACUGUUCCAGCUUGCAGUGAGACACUGCAUGAAUUGCACACAUGGAACCCCGCAGCUCCUGAUUUUGGGGUUCCCUCAGUGGCUAUCAUCCAUACUGACUUGUGGUAAGCUAAUGUCAUUAGUGACAAUGCAUGUUUGGUGCAGCAUUAAUCACUCCUUUCACUCUAUGAAAACUGUGGAUGGCAACAUGUGCGCAGCUGUCCAAACGGCUGCUAAUUGUGUAUUGGUGCUUUGUAUACAAGUAGCAGUGGAAAUUACUGAAUUUCUGAAUGAGCCUUAAUAUGUUCUAAAAUACAUUAGAAGCAUGUAAGACUACAUAGCCAAGCCUAGUAACAGUACCACAGGGCUGGGUUCAGGGCCCUCAGUCUCAGCGUGGAUCCUAAAAAAUGCUCAGCCUAUCUGUCUGUGUAAUUUUACCCUUAACAUAUAAGCACAAUAGACUCUAUAGUACUUGUAUGUUACUGGACAUUGGAGCUGGCAAUCCCAAACCACUAUGCGAGGAGCAUCCUAAUUCUCUUGGGUAAUUCUGGGGGUUGCCUUCCUAUAUUUUUUCUCUAUUACCAUGAAAUAACAUUGGCACCAAGCUUUCUUUUUACUGGCCAAGCAGGUAAAAUUCUGGUUAGGUGGCAACCCAAGUUGGACAUCUGUGAUAUGUUGGUGUAGUAGUUCUUAUUGUAACCACUGCUCCCUUACUGUGAAUCAGUAAAUCAGAAUAUAAUAUGACUUGGUAACAAAGUUCCUUUUACUGGUGUGCAAGCAUACAGACUGUGGGUUAGACAAACUGGGAAAGUGAGUAAGAAUACAUGCAUGCCUAUGGUCACACCAAUAAUAUCCAAGCAUUUAGGCUGCAUGGGUGCACUUUUACUUAAUAGUCAGCUCUAAUAGAGAGCCUUCAGCCAGACAAUGUUUUUCAAAUAUUUUAUGAAAUAAGUACAUUUAUGGCCUAGUCCUCUGAGGUGUCAACCAAUCUGCAUGGCAGUCAAACUUAAAGAGCUGUUUUCACGUUCCUAUGCUGGUAUUGGUUGUGAGUAUCACACAGUCUCCUAUUAGCAACCUGCCACUCUUGUUACACCUGGAAACUGCAACUGACUCAAAUCUUGUUCCACUUCAGCUCCCUUCUGCCCCCUGCAGAGCAAAAUGGAAUCGUAAGAAGUGGGGUCUUGGGAACAGUCAAUACUUGGGAGGGAGGCAAUUGUUCAGCAGCAGCCAUAGCAGCAGAUAAUUUGUAUCUUUUUCUGGUUAUUGUCUUUGUUUAAUUCCAAAUGUAUUGAAAGCAAGCUGGUUCAUAACACCAAUAUUAAUAUUUAUGCCAUUUCGUACAAUAAAGUAAUUACUAUGAACAA